This 549-nucleotide ribosomal RNA is filed under the name uncultured eukaryote. RNAcentral's name for it is "SSU rRNA". It matches the Rfam family "Eukaryotic small subunit ribosomal RNA", at positions 20 to 575 of the family's 1831-position model. The record is from RNAcentral.
GUAGUCAUAUGCUUGUCUCAAAGAUUAAGCCAUGCAUGUCUAAGUAUAAGCAACUAUACCGUGAAACUGCGAAUGGCUCAUUAUAUCAGUCUAAAUAUACUUGAUAGUACCUUACUACUUGGAUAACCGUGGUAAUUCUAGAGCUAAUACAUGCUAAAAACCCAGACUUCGGGAUGGGUGUAUUUAUUAGAUAAAAAACCAAUGCCCUUCGGGGCUCCUUGGUGAUUCAUGAUAACUUAACGAAUCGCAUGGCCUUGUGCCGGCGAUGGUUCAUUCUAUAUUCUGCCCUAUCAACUUUCGAUGGUAGGAUAGUGGCCUACCAUGGUUUCAACGGGUAACGGGGAAUUAGGGUUCUAUUCCGGAGAGGGAGCCUGAGAAACGGCUACCACAUCCAAGGAAGGCAGCAGGCGCGCAAAUUACCCAAUCCCGACACGGGGAGGUAGUGACAAUAAAUACUGAUCUUGGGCCAUUUUUGGUCUAAGAAUUGGAAUGAGUACAAUUUAAAUCCCUUAACGAGGAACAAUUGGGGGGCAAGUCUGGUGCCAGGCC